This 750-nucleotide ribosomal RNA is filed under the name uncultured bacterium. RNAcentral describes it as "bacterial SSU rRNA". It matches the Rfam family "Bacterial small subunit ribosomal RNA", at positions 8 to 796 of the family's 1533-position model. The record is from RNAcentral.
AGAGUUUGAUCAUGGCUCAGAGCGAACGCUGGCGGCAUGCUUAACACAUGCAAGUCGCACGGAUUGGGGGUAACUCCGGUCAGUGGCGGACGGGUGAGUAACGCGUAGGUAUCUAUCUCCGGGUGGGGGACAACCGUGGGAAACUACGGCUAAUACCGCAUGAAGCCCGAGGGCCAAAGCAGCGAUGCGCCUGGAGAGGAGCCUGCGUACGAUUAGCUUGUUGGCGGGGUAAUGGCCCACCAAGGCGACGAUCGUUAGCUGGUCUGAGAGGAUGAUCAGCCACACUGGGACUGAGACACGGCCCAGACUCCUACGGGAGGCAGCAGUGGGGAAUAUUGGACAAUGGGCGCAAGCCUGAUCCAGCAAUGCCGCGUGAGUGAAGAAGGUCUUCGGAUUGUAAAGCUCUUUCGACGGGGACGAUGAUGACGGUACCCGUAGAAGAAGCCCCGGCUAACUUCGUGCCAGCAGCCGCGGUAAUACGAAGGGGGCUAGCGUUGCUCGGAAUGACUGGGCGUAAAGGGCGCGUAGGCGGUGUACACAGUCAGGCGUGAAAUUCCCGGGCUCAACCUGGGGGCUGCGCUUGAUACAUGUGCGCUUGAGUUCGGAAGAGGGUCGUGGAAUUCCCAGUGUAGAGGUGAAAUUCGUAGAUAUUGGGAAGAACACCGGUGGCGAAGGCGGCGACCUGGUCCGAUACUGACGCUGAGGCGCGAAAGCGUGGGGAGCAAACAGGAUUAGAUACCCUAGUAGUCC